AUGCCAUAUGAUGAUAUGGAUUUUCAUUAUCUCACGACGGUCGUCUGAGUUCACAUUGAUGUAAUAAUCCUAUGAUUCUGAUGGUU
Lathyrus oleraceus (garden pea) is the source of this 86-nucleotide small nucleolar RNA. RefSeq annotates it as small nucleolar RNA Z161/Z228. NCBI's taxonomy places the organism in Eukaryota, Viridiplantae, Streptophyta, Magnoliopsida, Fabales, Fabaceae. The record is from RefSeq and is a predicted model, not a curated record. The transcript has a single exon.